Trachemys scripta elegans is the source of this 1852-nucleotide RNA transcript. It is a transcript of the gene named mab-21 like 3, with no coding region annotated. The transcript has 8 exons. Lineage: Eukaryota; Metazoa; Chordata; Testudines; Emydidae. The record is from RefSeq and is a predicted model, not a curated record.
UAACAAGAGGCAGCUUUAUAUCUGUUUAUUGUAAAGAAGGCGAAGCAAACUGCAGGCUGGGGACAGGCCGUGGGAUGUUUACUGUCAAUACAGCAGGAGAGAGAAAGGAAAUAUAAGGAGCAGAGGCCCUGGACUGCAACCCAAAUGGGUGAUCUGAAUGUAAACAUAGCAGUACAGCUACAGAAGGAAAAGGAAUUAGGUGUCGUGGGUUUGCAAGGCAAGGAAGGCUGCAGACCAAAAGCUGGAAGUGGUUCUGAAACACCCAGCGCCAAGCAAGAGAAUAAAAUUUAAAUUUUGGAGCACAAGGAAGAACAUCUUACCAUGAAACCAUUCACAGAAGAAGAUGUGGAAUUUUACAUCCAGAAUAAGGUGGAACAGCGACACCACCUGGUGUCUAAGACAGUGGAUGAGGUGCAGAAGAUCAUCCAACAGCUGACCGCAGAAAUCAGCUACAGGGACACGCGAUUUCAGGCCAUCUCUAACUCUGGUGUGCACAACGAGAAUUUUAGGGAUCAGCCAGCUUUACUGGCCAAGUGGUCCGCUCUGCUUCGGGGGAAACGCCCAUUCCACCCAUCUGUCCAGGUCUUAGCACCCAGCCACUUCCUCAUCACAGUCCCACUGCGCGGCCUGACAGGGUACCGGGAGCACCAGGUACGGCACUGGCGGUAUUACACCGUGCAUGGGGCAAAGCUCCUUUCCCCAGUACGGGACCCAGAGGAGCUGCAGCAGUGGCUGGAGGUGGAGCAGUUCUCAAAGAGCCUGCAGCAGUGGCAUGAGACAGAGGUGAACAUCGAAGGUGAUCUCGUUCCAGCCAAGAUCCUUGCCAUCUUCAGGGAGUUGAUGGAGAAGUCAAUUACCUCCUGUAACCUCUCCAGUAAAGUCAGCAUUCUGGAGAGUUUCAGCUCGGUGGUUCGAGUUGCUGUGGAGACACCAGACUCCCAGGUAGAGGUGGAGCUGGUCCCUACUGUGGAAAUCCCAACCUGCUGGCCUGAGAGAGCCCGGUGGCCCCGCUGCUUCAAGCGCUGGCCUUCCCAGGAGAAAGUGCAGUGCAUCAAGUCAUUUGGCUUUAAUCUCCUGGCCCGCUCCAAUUACCACUGGCAGCUGGGCUUUUCCCGAGCUGAGCGCAUGCUGAUAGAGGGCCUUGACGAGGACGGUGGCUGCCGCAUGAAGUGCUUCCGAGUCAUAAGACAAAUGAAGGAGGAUGUCUGGUGUACAGGAAAUAAGCCAAUCCUGACGACCUAUCACCUACAGGUGUGUAUAGCAGGCAAGAGUGGUGAGGUCAGCAGAGAGGAGUUUAGGGCGGGGUGGGGGAAUAUACAGUUGUCAGGAGAGAGCAGCAACCAAACAGAGUCUUUGCUGUGGGACCCCUGUAGCAACAAUUGUAAUACAAUAAUUGUAUAGCGCCCCCUAGCUAACACCGAAGGUAACGACCCUCACCACAUUACUCUCUUUUCCUUACAUGGUGUGAGAAUUGUUGUUUAUCUACAUUCCAUACAAAAAGAUUAUGUUAAAAGAACACUAUGGUUGCACGGUUACAGGUAAACACACAAAAGUCAGGCAGUCUCAGAGUUAAGGCUGCCCAUGUUACCUUAAGUCCACAUAUGCAUUACAAUACAGUUUUCAACUGCAUGAUCACACACUAUUUCUUGACCAAUAUCAUAUAUUCUACUCUAUUUUCCCUGCUACAACCUAAUCCACUUUGCAUUUCUACUGAGACUUCUGUCUGAGGAGCUCAAAGUUUUUACCCGGUCAUGCUCACAACACCCUCUCUGAGGUAGCAAGGUAGGUACCAAGAUGGUGCUGUUCUGGACAUGUGAGAAGUACCCGCGCACCAAGGACUGGCGCUGCUUCC